UACAGAGGGGGCAAGCGUUGUUCGGAAUUACUGGGCGUAAAGCGUGCGCAGGCGGUUUUGUAAGCCAGAUGUGAAAUCCCCGGGCUUAACCUGGGAAUGGCAUUUGGGACUGCAAGGCUGGAGUGUGGCAGAGGAGACUGGAAUUCCCGGUGUAGCAGUGAAAUGCGUAGAUAUCGGGAGGAAUACCGAUGGCGAAGGCAGGUCUCUGGGCUGACACUGACGCUCAUGCACGAAAGCGUGGGGAGCAAACAGG
This 253-nucleotide ribosomal RNA is filed under the name uncultured bacterium. RNAcentral describes it as "partial 16S ribosomal RNA". It matches the Rfam family "Bacterial small subunit ribosomal RNA", at positions 524 to 776 of the family's 1533-position model. The record is from RNAcentral.